Molecule: ribosomal RNA, 465 nt
Filed under: Vreelandella stevensii
Lineage: Bacteria; Pseudomonadati; Pseudomonadota; Gammaproteobacteria; Oceanospirillales; Halomonadaceae
Description: partial 16S ribosomal RNA
Rfam family: Bacterial small subunit ribosomal RNA
Source: RNAcentral
CCUACGGGUGGCAGCAGUGGGGAAUAUUGGACAAUGGGCGAAAGCCUGAUCCAGCCAUGCCGCGUGUGUGAAGAAGGCCUUCGGGUUGUAAAGCACUUUCAGUGGAGAAGAAAGCCUUGGGGCUAAUACCCUCGAGGAAGGACAUCACCCACAGAAGAAGCACCGGCUAACUCCGUGCCAGCAGCCGCGGUAAUACGGAGGGUGCGAGCGUUAAUCGGAAUUACUGGGCGUAAAGCGCGCGUAGGCGGUCUGAUAAGCCGGUUGUGAAAGCCCCGGGCUCAACCUGGGAACGGCAUCCGGAACUGUCAGGCUAGAGUGCAGGAGAGGAAGGUAGAAUUCCCGGUGUAGCGGUGAAAUGCGUAGAGAUCGGGAGGAAUACCAGUGGCGAAGGCGGCCUUCUGGACUGACACUGACGCUGAGGUGCGAAAGCGUGGGUAGCAAACAGGAUUAGAUACCCUUGUAGUC